UACGAAGGGGGCUAGCGUUGCUCGGAAUCACUGGGCGUAAAGCGCACGUAGGCGGCUUCUUAAGUCAGGGGUGAAAUCCUGGAACUCAACUCCAGAACUGCCUUUGAUACUGAGGAGCUUGAGUCCGGGAGAGGUGAGUGGAACUGCGAGUGUAGAGGUGAAAUUCGUAGAUAUUCGCAAGAACACCAGUGGCGAAGGCGGCUCACUGGCCCGGUACUGACGCUGAGGUGCGAAAGCGUGGGGAGCAAACAGG
This 253-nucleotide ribosomal RNA is filed under the name uncultured bacterium. RNAcentral's name for it is "partial 16S ribosomal RNA". It matches the Rfam family "Bacterial small subunit ribosomal RNA", at positions 524 to 776 of the family's 1533-position model. The record is from RNAcentral.